Molecule: non-coding RNA, 732 nt
Filed under: Limois sp. WW-2021a
Lineage: Eukaryota; Metazoa; Arthropoda; Insecta; Hemiptera; Fulgoridae
Source: RNAcentral
UUAAAAAUUUGAUCUUUGUUUUUAGAUUUAGCUUUAAGUUUAUAAUGCAUGUAAAUUUUUGUUAGUUUUUAUAUUCUUAAUGAUUUAAUUUUAUUUUCAGUGCUUGAUUUUUUAAAAAUUAUUUUUUUAAUUUAAGUUAUAUUUUAUAGGACUAAAAAAUGUUGUGCCAGCAUUUGCGGUUAUACAUCAGGUUCAAGUUAAUUUUUUUUAGAGUUUAGUUUAAUAAUUUAUUUUUUUUGUAUUUAGGUGAAAUUUAUAUUUUUUAAUUAUUUUAUUUCUAAGUAAAUUUGGAUAUAAACCAGGAUUAGAUACCCUGUUAUUCAAAAUUAAUUUUUAUCUCUAAGGUAGUAUAUUUUAUUAAUUGAAAUUUAAUAGAUCUGGCGGUUUUUAAAUCUUUUUAGAGGAACCUGUAAUUUAAAUGAUAAUCCACGAUUUUUUGUACCUUAAAUUUCUUGUAUAUCGCUGUCGUUGAAUGUAAUGAAAAUUUAAUUUUCUUUUUCUUUUUUUAGAUUUAUGUUAGGUCAAGAUGCAGUUAUUUUAAGGUUAUUAUGGGUUACUUUAAUUUUUGUUUUUGGAUUUUAAAUUUUGAUUUUAUUUGAAUUUGGAUUUAAUAGUAAUUUUUUUUAAUUAAUUAUUUGAAUUUAGCUCUUAAUUAUGUACAUAUCGCCCGUCACUCUCAUAAAUUGAGAUAAGUCGUAACAAAGUAGAUGUACUGGAAAGUGUAUCUAGAAA